RNAcentral lists this transfer RNA (76 nucleotides) under Janthinobacterium lividum. RNAcentral describes it as "tRNA-Thr". It matches the Rfam family "tRNA". Rfam says of the family: Transfer RNA (tRNA) molecules are approximately 80 nucleotides in length. Their secondary structure includes four short double-helical elements and three loops (D, anti-codon, and T loops). RNAcentral also lists the same sequence under 2 other names. The record is from RNAcentral. Lineage: Bacteria; Pseudomonadati; Pseudomonadota; Betaproteobacteria; Burkholderiales; Oxalobacteraceae.
GCCGGGAUAGCUCAGUUGGUAGAGCAGCGCAUUCGUAAUGCGAAGGUCGGGGGUUCGACUCCUCUUUCCGGCACCA